CCUACGGGUGGCAGCAGUAGGGAAUCUUCCACAAUGGGCGAAAGCCUGAUGGAGCAACGCCGCGUGGGUGAAGAAGGUCUUCGGAUCGUAAAACCCUGUUGUUAGAGAAGAAAGUGCGUGAGAGUAACUGUUCACGUUUCGACGGUAUCUAACCAGAAAGCCACGGCUAACUACGUGCCAGCCGCCGCGGUAAUACGUAGGUGGCAAGCGUUAUGCGGAUUGAUGUGGCGUAAAGGGAACGCAGGCGGCAGUUCAAGUCUGAUGUGAAAGACGUGGGCUUAACCGGUGUAGUGCAUUGGAAACUGGGAGACUUGAGGACAGGAGAGGAGAAUGGAAGUCCGAGUGUAGCGGUGAAAUGCGUAGAUAUAUGGAAGAACACCAGUGGCGAAAGCGG
Molecule: ribosomal RNA, 394 nt
Filed under: uncultured bacterium
Lineage: Bacteria
Description: partial 16S ribosomal RNA
Rfam family: Bacterial small subunit ribosomal RNA
Source: RNAcentral